UUCCAGCUCCAAUAGCGUAUAUUAAUGUUGUUGCAGUUAAAAAGCUCGUAGUUGGAUCUCUAACGCACGCGGCCGGUCCGCCCCUCACGGGGUGUGCACUGCGCCGUCGUGCGUUAUCCUGGGGGAGAGCGUCCCGCGCAUUAGGUUGUGUGGGUCGGGAUCCUCCACGAAUACUCAAAAUAAAUAAGAGUGUUCAAAGCAGGCGAUUGCUGUGAAUUCUUCAGUUGGGAAUAAUAAGAUAGGACUCGGGGACUAUUUUGUUGGUUUGCAUCUCCGAGUAAUGAUUAAUAGGGACAGUUGGAGAUAUUCAUAUUCAGUUGUCAGAGGUGAAAUUCUUGGAUUUACGGAAGAUGAACUACUGCGAAAGCAUUUUUAUCGAGGAUGUUUUCAUUA
This 393-nucleotide ribosomal RNA is filed under the name Stramenopiles sp. RNAcentral describes it as "partial small subunit ribosomal RNA". It matches the Rfam family "Eukaryotic small subunit ribosomal RNA", at positions 583 to 975 of the family's 1831-position model. The record is from RNAcentral.